Molecule: ribosomal RNA, 253 nt
Filed under: uncultured bacterium
Lineage: Bacteria
Description: partial 16S ribosomal RNA
Rfam family: Bacterial small subunit ribosomal RNA
Source: RNAcentral
UACAGAGGGUGCAAGCGUUGUUCGGAAUUAUUGGGCGUAAAGCGCACGUAGGCGGUUCGUUAUGUCGGAUGUGAAAGCCCUUGGCUUAACCGAGGAAGUGCAUCCGAAACUGGCGAGCUAGAGUACUAAAGAGGAUCGCGGAAUUCCCGGUGUAGAGGUGAAAUUCGUAGAUAUCGGGAGGAACACCGGUGGCGAAGGCGGCGAUCUGGGUAGAUACUGACGCUGAGGUGCGAAAGCGUGGGGAGCAAACAGG